RNAcentral lists this ribosomal RNA (348 nucleotides) under uncultured bacterium. RNAcentral describes it as "bacterial SSU rRNA". It matches the Rfam family "Bacterial small subunit ribosomal RNA", at positions 28 to 377 of the family's 1533-position model. The record is from RNAcentral.
GACGAACGCUGGCGGCGUGCUUAACACAUGCAAGUCGAGCGGUAAGGCCCUUUCGGGGGUACACGAGCGGCGAACGGGUGAGUAACACGUGGGUGACCUGCCCUCAGCUCUGGGAUAAGCCUGGGAAACUGGGUCUAAUACUGGAUAUGACUCCACGGUGCAUGUCGUGGGGUGAAAGCCUUGUGCGGCUGAGGAUGGGCCCGCGGCCUAUCAGCUUGUUGGUGGGGUGANGGGCCUACCAAGGCGACGACGGGUAGCCGGCCUGAGAGGGCGACCGGCCACACUGGGACUGAGACACGGCCCAGACUCCUACGGGAGGCAGCAGUGGGGAAUCUUGCGCAAUGGGCG